CAGUAUCUAAAGUGGGCGGGGUGAGAAAAAAUAAUUUGAUUAGAAAAUAUUUUAUAUAAAUUGGAAAAUUUUAAGGAGGUCCAAUAACGGUAUCAAAUAACAAAAAGAUAAAAAUAAUAUUAAAUUCUUCAGAAAGUUGAUUUCAAUAUUUUUUAUAUUUUCAUUGGUUUAAAAAUUUUAGAUAAAAUAAUAUACAUAAAUAUACAUAUGUAAGGGACCCCCUUAAAUGUUUUUUACACACGCACUCUCACAACUUUGUUUCUUCAUAUUCUUAAAUAGUUGAUUCUUACCACACGCACUGAUAUUCUUUUCUAAUAUUAAGAUUCGCACUAAUAAACAGCAUUGCCAGAUUUUUGCAAAUAAAAUUUACAAUAUACAUAUGUAAUUCACCGUUAGUUAAAAUAAAAUAAAAAAGAGAGAAAUCUUGAAAAUAAAAAAUGGAGGCGAAUAUAAUAACAAA
This is a long non-coding RNA of Bactrocera dorsalis (oriental fruit fly), 460 nucleotides long. RefSeq lists it as uncharacterized. Lineage: Eukaryota; Metazoa; Arthropoda; Insecta; Diptera; Tephritidae. The transcript has 2 exons. The record is from RefSeq and is a predicted model, not a curated record.